Long non-coding RNA from Frankliniella occidentalis (western flower thrips), 1087 nucleotides. RefSeq lists it as uncharacterized. Lineage: Eukaryota; Metazoa; Arthropoda; Insecta; Thysanoptera; Thripidae. The transcript is spliced from 2 exons. The record is from RefSeq and is a predicted model, not a curated record.
GAAGCGAGGGAUGUAGAGAGAGCGAGAGCGAGAGCAAGGUCGAGAGCGAUUUGUAGAUGUCCGUUUGCGUGCUCUGCUUCAGGUGGCCGGUGGCUCCCAAUCCCAACCCCAACCCAAGUCCCCGCCCCAGUCCCAACUCAUCACCAAAUUCUCCAACGUCAUACGAACGUCACUGACGGAGAACAGCGGAGAGCACGUUGGUGAGGACGCUGAGGGGCCUGUCUCGUGGCUGGCUGGCGUUCUCGCGUCCAUUUUUGAGACGCGCAUUGAGGAAGCAGCCACUCCGCCCCCCAUGGCCCCCGCCGUCCCCAUGGCCCCCGCUGCCGCCAUGGCCCCCGCCACCACCAUGGCCCCCGCCACCACCAUGGCCCCCGCCGCCCCCGUGGCACCCACAGCCGCCACGGCCCCAACGGCCACAGUGGCCGCAACGGCCUCCGUGGCCCCCGCGUUUUGUUUUGUGUGUUGGGCCCGUGUCCCCGAGAUACGGGCCCACGUCAAUAGUCGCCACCGGGGGCCGCAAGGGGAGCGGUUCAGGUGCGUGGCCUGCCCUGGAGGCCGCGUGUUCGCUAAACACUGCGACCUGGCGGCGCACUGCGAGGAGGAGCACGCCGCCCGCUGUGCUGCUUCACGGCGCCCCGUGGUGCUCCCCGUGGUGCCGCUGCCAGCCCCACAUCCACCACCUGAGGGACGCGGACGGGCCCCCAGGCGACCCCGAGGACGGCCACCGGGACGAGCACCCGGGCGACCCUCCCUGGCACCCCCUGGACCUGGACGCCCUGCUGGAGGGCGCCGCCGUGGACGACCCCCUGGCCGGACCGCAGGCGUGCAACGGAGUGCGGGCGUAGCCCAGCGGGCCUGCUGGCGCUACUUGCUUAAGAGACCAGGAGGGGCACGCAAUGAGGUGGCGGCGCCGAACCCGCGGCCCGGGGGCCGUUGGGUAUUUGUUGAGGAUUCACCUCCCCCACGGGCCAUGCGGCAAUGAAUUAAUCUAAUAUAGUUAUCAUUAUUUUUUUGUUCAGUUUCAUUUAUUUUAUUUAUUGAUUGUUUAUUUGAUUGUUGUCUUAUUAAAAGGUUUACGUGAAUUGUA